Non-coding RNA from Acanthosepion pharaonis, 97 nucleotides. Lineage: Eukaryota; Metazoa; Mollusca; Cephalopoda; Sepiida; Sepiidae. The record is from the annotation of a GenBank genome assembly.
UUGAAACAUCAGUUGUCAUAUUACCACUGAUGUUAAGCAACAUCGAGCUUGGUUAGUACCUAGAUGGGUGACCACUUGGGAAUACCAGGAGCUGAAA